GACGAACGCUGGCGGCGUGCCUAAUACAUGCAAGUAGAACGCUGAAGCGAGGAGCUUGCUCUUCUUGGAUGAGUUGCGAACGGGUGAGUAACGCGUAGGUCACCUGCCUUGUAGCGGGGGAUAGCUAUUGGAAACGAUAGCUAAUACCGCAUAACAAUGGAUGACACAUGUCAUUUAUUUGAAAGGGGCAAUUGCUCCACUACAAGAUGGACCUGCGUUGUAUUAGCUAGUAGGUGAGGUAAUGGCUCACCUAGGCGACGAUACAUAGCCGACCUGAGAGGGUGAUCGGCCACACUGGGACUGAGACACGGCCCAGACUCCUACGGGAGGCAGCAGUAGGGAAACUUCGGCAAUGGGGGCAACCCUGACCGAGCAACGCCGCGUGAGGGAAGAAGGGUUUCGGAUCGUAAAGCUCUGUUGUAAGUCAAGAACGGGUGUGAGAGUGGAAAGUUCACACUGUGACGGUAGCUUACCAGAAAGGGACGGCUAACUACGUG
RNAcentral lists this ribosomal RNA (497 nucleotides) under uncultured bacterium. Its description in RNAcentral is "partial 16S ribosomal RNA". It matches the Rfam family "Bacterial small subunit ribosomal RNA", at positions 28 to 507 of the family's 1533-position model. The record is from RNAcentral.